Felis catus (domestic cat) is the source of this 85-nucleotide transfer RNA. It matches the Rfam family "tRNA". Rfam says of the family: Transfer RNA (tRNA) molecules are approximately 80 nucleotides in length. Their secondary structure includes four short double-helical elements and three loops (D, anti-codon, and T loops). Further hydrogen bonds mediate the characteristic L-shaped molecular structure. tRNAs have two regions of fundamental functional importance: the anti-codon, which is responsible for specific mRNA codon recognition, and the 3' end, to which the tRNAs corresponding amino acid is attached (by aminoacyl-tRNA synthetases). tRNAs cope with the degeneracy of the genetic code in two manners: having more than one tRNA (with a specific anti-codon) for a particular amino acid; and 'wobble' base-pairing, i.e. permitting non-standard base-pairing at the 3rd anti-codon position. The record is from Rfam. NCBI's taxonomy places the organism in Eukaryota, Metazoa, Chordata, Mammalia, Carnivora, Felidae.
GCCUGGGUGGCUCAGUCAGUUAAGCGUCUGACUUCGGCUCAGAUCAUGAUCUCACAGCUUGUGGUUUCAAGCCCCAUGUCAGGCU